GGACGGUUAGCUCAGUUGGUUAGAGCGCCUCGUUUACACCGAGGAGGUCAUAGGUUCGAAUCCUAUACCGUCCACCA
This 77-nucleotide transfer RNA is filed under the name Nitrospiraceae bacterium. Its description in RNAcentral is "tRNA-Val". It matches the Rfam family "tRNA". Rfam says of the family: Transfer RNA (tRNA) molecules are approximately 80 nucleotides in length. Their secondary structure includes four short double-helical elements and three loops (D, anti-codon, and T loops). Further hydrogen bonds mediate the characteristic L-shaped molecular structure. tRNAs have two regions of fundamental functional importance: the anti-codon, which is responsible for specific mRNA codon recognition, and the 3' end, to which the tRNAs corresponding amino acid is attached (by aminoacyl-tRNA synthetases). tRNAs cope with the degeneracy of the genetic code in two manners: having more than one tRNA (with a specific anti-codon) for a particular amino acid; and 'wobble' base-pairing, i.e. permitting non-standard base-pairing at the 3rd anti-codon position. Lineage: Bacteria; Pseudomonadati; Nitrospirota; Nitrospiria; Nitrospirales; Nitrospiraceae. The record is from RNAcentral.